Molecule: unclassified non-coding RNA, 380 nt
Filed under: soil metagenome
Description: partial contains 5.8S ribosomal RNA, internal transcribed spacer 2, and large subunit ribosomal RNA
Rfam family: 5.8S ribosomal RNA (bases 1-120)
Source: RNAcentral
GAUGAAGAACGUAGCGAAAUGCGAUAAGUAAUGUGAAUUGCAGAAUUCAGUGAAUCAUCGAAUCUUUGAACGCACCUUGCACCCUUUGGUAUUCCGAAGGGUAUGCUCGUUUGAGUGUCAUUGUACUCUCACACUUCCGAUCGUUUGGAUCGGGAGCGGUGGACUUGGGUGUUGCUGCUUUACUGUGGCUCACCUUAAAUGCAUUAGUGCACCUUUCGGUUGGACAUAGUACGGCGUGAUAAGUGUCUUCGCCGGCACCUCACAGAGGGUGGCUGAUCGGGAGCUCUGUGCUUCAAACCGUCCUCGAACAACAGCUGACAACUUGACCUCAAAUCGAGUAGGACUACCCGCUGAACUUAAGCAUAUCAAUAAGCGGAGGA